Molecule: ribosomal RNA, 1086 nt
Filed under: Bacillus pumilus
Lineage: Bacteria; Bacillati; Bacillota; Bacilli; Caryophanales; Bacillaceae
Description: bacterial SSU rRNA
Rfam family: Bacterial small subunit ribosomal RNA
Source: RNAcentral
UUGCAGUGCGGGUGCUAUACAUGCAGUCGAGCGGACAGAAGGGAGCUUGCUCCCGGAUGUUAGCGGCGGACGGGUGAGUAACACGUGGGUAACCUGCCUGUAAGACUGGGAUAACUCCGGGAAACCGGAGCUAAUACCGGAUAGUUCCUUGAACCGCAUGGUUCAAGGAUGAAAGACGGUUUCGGCUGUCACUUACAGAUGGACCCGCGGCGCAUUAGCUAGUUGGUGGGGUAAUGGCUCACCAAGGCGACGAUGCGUAGCCGACCUGAGAGGGUGAUCGGCCACACUGGGACUGAGACACGGCCCAGACUCCUACGGGAGGCAGCAGUAGGGAAUCUUCCGCAAUGGACGAAAGUCUGACGGAGCAACGCCGCGUGAGUGAUGAAGGUUUUCGGAUCGUAAAGCUCUGUUGUUAGGGAAGAACAAGUGCGAGAGUAACUGCUCGCACCUUGACGGUACCUAACCAGAAAGCCACGGCUAACUACGUGCCAGCAGCCGCGGUAAUACGUAGGUGGCAAGCGUUGUCCGGAAUUAUUGGGCGUAAAGGGCUCGCAGGCGGUUUCUUAAGUCUGAUGUGAAAGCCCCCGGCUCAACCGGGGAGGGUCAUUGGAAACUGGGAAACUUGAGUGCAGAAGAGGAGAGUGGAAUUCCACGUGUAGCGGUGAAAUGCGUAGAGAUGUGGAGGAACACCAGUGGCGAAGGCGACUCUCUGGUCUGUAACUGACGCUGAGGAGCGAAAGCGUGGGGAGCGAACAGGAUUAGAUACCCUGGUAGUCCACGCCGUAAACGAUGAGUGCUAAGUGUUAGGGGGUUUCCGCCCCUUAGUGCUGCAGCUAACGCAUUAAGCACUCCGCCUGGGGAGUACGGUCGCAAGACUGAAACUCAAAGGAAUUGACGGGGGCCCGCACAAGCGGUGGAGCAUGUGGUUUAAUUCGAAGCAACGCGAAGAACCCUUACCAGUCUUGACAUCCUCUGACAACCCUAGAGAUAGGGCUUUCCCUUUCGGGGACAGAGUGACAGGUGGUGCAUGGAUGUCGUCAGCUCGUGUCGUGAGAUGUUGGGUUAAGUCCCGCAACGAGCGCAACC